GCUCGUAGUUGGAUUUUGGGCGCGGGCGGUCGGUCCGUCGCGAGGCGUGUACUGGUCGACCCGGCCUUACGUCCGGUUCUCCGGCGGUGCUCUUGACUGAGUGUCGGCGGCGGCCGGAAAGUUUACUUUGAAAAAAUUAGAGUGUUCAAAGCAGGCUCUCGAGCCUGAAUAAUGGUGCAUGGAAUAAUGGAAUAGGACCUCGGUUCUAUUUUGUUGGUUUUCGGAGCGCGAGGUAAUGAUUAAGAGGGACAGACGGGGGCAUUCGUACUGUGCCGUUAGAGGUGAAAUUCUUGGAUCGGCGCAAGACGAACGACUGCGAAAGCAUUUGCCAAGAAUGUUUUCUUUAAUCAAGAGCGAAAGUCAGAGGUUCGAAGACGAUCAGAUACCGUCCUAGUUCUGACUAUAAACGAUGCCAACUAGCGAUCGGGGAGCGUUAAUUUGACGACCUCCCCGGCAGCUUGCGGGAAACCAAAGUCUUUGGGUUCCGGGGGAAGUAUGGUUGCAAAGCUGAAACUUAAAGGAAUUGACGGAAGGGCACCACCAGGAGUGGAGCCUGCGGCUUAAUUUGACUCAACACGGGAAAUCUCACCCGGCCCGGACACAGUGAGGAUUGACAGAUUGAGAGCUCUUUCUUGAUUCU
RNAcentral lists this ribosomal RNA (640 nucleotides) under Ciona intestinalis (vase tunicate). Its description in RNAcentral is "SSU rRNA". It matches the Rfam family "Eukaryotic small subunit ribosomal RNA", at positions 626 to 1269 of the family's 1831-position model. Lineage: Eukaryota; Metazoa; Chordata; Ascidiacea; Phlebobranchia; Cionidae. The record is from RNAcentral.